Molecule: long non-coding RNA, 324 nt
Organism: Pyrus x bretschneideri (Chinese white pear)
Lineage: Eukaryota; Viridiplantae; Streptophyta; Magnoliopsida; Rosales; Rosaceae
Exons: 3
Source: RefSeq, a predicted model, not a curated record
CCUCUUGCUUUGCUGUACUGGUCGUGUUACUUGAUGGAACUGCGGCAGUGCUCUUCAGCUGCUGUGUUCUUCAAUCAUGAUAUGUUGCUUUUAAUUUUUGGUGCAAAGCUUAAAGGAGAUUGUGAAAAACUGCGCUCAGGUCCUCCCCAACGAAGCCGUCAAUGGACUCCUCGCCCAAGCAAAGCACAAAUCUUUGUGUUCUUCACUUCAGCCAGUUUCGUAUUACAGGGUCAGAUUUGAAUGGGGGAGUUGCUGCGAUUAUAGGAGAGCUUGAUCAUGGUGAUGCAGGUACAAGAAAAAUGGAUGCUUGGGGUACUUGGCGGG